This is an RNA transcript of Arabidopsis thaliana (thale cress), 175 nucleotides long. RefSeq lists it as uncharacterized. Lineage: Eukaryota; Viridiplantae; Streptophyta; Magnoliopsida; Brassicales; Brassicaceae. The transcript has a single exon. The record is from RefSeq.
ACCAAGACUGAUCUAGUCCAAGUGGUUGGAGUCUAGCGCGUAGAUUCCACGUAAAGCUUCGGACCUUGUUUCGAAUCAGUCUUGGUACCUCUUUCUCAAUCUCUCUUUCGCAACUCGCUGUUGUUGAUGUUGUUGUCGUUAGGAAAAUGAGGUAAUCCAAAUUACCUUUUCUUUU